GACAAUAGAUGGCGUUGUACUUCUCGAG
This 28-nucleotide small RNA is filed under the name Bombyx mori (domestic silkworm). Its description in RNAcentral is "ovarian small RNA-5037". The record is from RNAcentral. Lineage: Eukaryota; Metazoa; Arthropoda; Insecta; Lepidoptera; Bombycidae.